RNAcentral lists this unclassified non-coding RNA (210 nucleotides) under uncultured Basidiomycota. RNAcentral's name for it is "sequence contains ITS2". Lineage: Eukaryota; Fungi; Basidiomycota. RNAcentral also lists the same sequence under 1 other name. The record is from RNAcentral.
AAUCAUCAACCUCACCGGCUUUGUUGCUUUGGUGUAGGCUUGGAUUUGGGGAUUAUUGCGGGCCUUCCUCAGGGGGGUCGGCUUCCCUUGAAUGUAUUAGUCGGAUUUGCCCUCCGUAUCCGAGCGGUGUGAUAAAACGUCAUUCAUCGAUCGGCGGUGGCUGUGUUCGGCUUCUAACCGUCGCCUCAGGCGACAAGCUUUCUUGACUCA